Molecule: transfer RNA, 66 nt
Filed under: Ophiophthalmus serratus
Lineage: Eukaryota; Metazoa; Echinodermata; Ophiuroidea; Amphilepidida; Ophiacanthidae
Description: tRNA-Pro
Rfam family: tRNA
About the family: Transfer RNA (tRNA) molecules are approximately 80 nucleotides in length.
Source: RNAcentral
UGGGGGGUAGUUUAUUAAAAUAUAAGCUUUGGAAGCUUAAGAUACUAAAUUUUAGUCUCUCUAAAG